CCCUUAGAUGUUCUGGGCUGCACGCGUGCUACACUGAUUACUUCAACAAGUGUUUUAACUGGAGAGUUCGCGUAAUCCUGAAAUGUUAUCGUGAUGGGAGUAGAGUAUUGUAUUUGUUAAUCUUUAACGAGGACUUCCUAGUAAGUGUAGGUUUAUUUGUUUUUUUUUUUACGUCCCUGCCCUUUGUACACACCGCCCGUCGCUCCUACCGAUUGAUUGAUCCGGUGAGGCUUUGGGAUCUGAGCGGAAAGAGCGUUUCGCUGUUUCUGCUCGGAAAACUCAGUCGAACCUUAUCAUUUAGAGGAAGGAGAAGUCGUAACA
Molecule: ribosomal RNA, 321 nt
Filed under: uncultured eukaryote
Lineage: Eukaryota
Description: partial 18S ribosomal RNA
Rfam family: Eukaryotic small subunit ribosomal RNA
Source: RNAcentral